RNAcentral lists this ribosomal RNA (525 nucleotides) under Legionella londiniensis. RNAcentral's name for it is "bacterial SSU rRNA". It matches the Rfam family "Bacterial small subunit ribosomal RNA", at positions 45 to 558 of the family's 1533-position model. Lineage: Bacteria; Pseudomonadati; Pseudomonadota; Gammaproteobacteria; Legionellales; Legionellaceae. The record is from RNAcentral.
UGCUUAACACAUGCAAGUCGAACGGCAGCAUGGUCCAGCUUGCUGGACUGAUGGCGAGUGGCGAACGGGUGAGUAACGCGUAGGAAUAUGCCUUAAAGAGGGGGAUAACCUGGGGAAACUCAGGCUAAUACCGCAUAAGCUCUGAGGAGUGAAGCUGGGGACCGUAAGGCCUGGCGCUUUGAGAUUAGCCUGCGUCUGAUUAGCUAGUUGGUGGGGUAAGGGCCUACCAAGGCGACGAUCGGUAGCUGGUCUGAGAGGAUGAUCAGCCACACUGGGACUGAGACACGGCCCAGACUCCUACGGGAGGCAGCAGUGGGGAAUAUUGGACAAUGGGGGGAACCCUGAUCCAGCAAUGCCGCGUGUGUGAAGAAGGCCUGAGGGUUGUAAAGCACUUUCGGUGGGGAGGAUGGAAUGGUUGGUUAAGAGCUGACUGUUCUGACGUUACCCAGAGAAGAAGCACCGGCUAACUCCGUGCCAGCAGCCGCGGUAAUACGGAGGGUGCGAGCGUUAAUCGGAAUUACUGGG